AUGUGGAGGACGUCGAUUGUAUAACAGCAGCGAAAGCUUCUCGUUUUUGUUUUCUGUAGCUUUUUGGUCAAAUUGGACAGAAGAGAAAGCGGCUCAUCAAAUACGGACAGUCAGCCACACAGCACGGUUGGCACUGAACAGUCUCCACCGGCGGCACCACACGCGCCACAUGGCACAUCAUUUCAGCACCACGAACAGCUCCGCUGGCGGACUGAAGAGUAAUGCAUUAUUGAAAGCCUAUAUCAAACAGCUCUGGGGUGCUGUCUCUCUGCACAAGGGGCUGUGGAUGAAGUCGGACUGUCUGCCUUCACAAUAGCCUCUAAUAUGUUAAUGGCCGUAGGGGAUGCCUGAGGUACCGUCCCCAGCUGCCUCGCCUACCAUAUGUCAAGCCGUUACGACAGAGCCCUCUAUUAAUCAGUUGGGGAUAUUUCAUCGAUGGCCUCGCCGAUAUCAUAACCCUUAAAGCUCCAUCAAUACUGCGCCUCGCAUCGUCACCUGAUCUCAGAUCUCGGCCUUACUGUCCUCUAUUUCCCCUUCCAUUUCAGUGGAAGGCCCAAGCUUGCCGUCUUCCAGCGCCGCAGGGCAUGGAGCUAGCCAGCGGUGAGUUUCCAUCAAUUAGUGCACCCCCGCGGCCUCAUGGCAGAGCCCACCUUUGACUGCGGUGAGAUAUUGAUUAGUUCAGCUGCACUGUCAGGUCUGGAGUGUGCAGGGCCUGGUGAUCCAAGGCCUUCGCCAGAGACAAGAUCAUGUCAAGUUUCUGACACAUGUAGGCUCUCACAUACACACCCGUGUGCACACGCAUGGAGGUUAGCAUGUGUACACAUGCAGGUGCGCGCAGACGUGCGCGUCAACACAUGGACACAUACAAAUGCAAUGAAACAUGCUCUCUCAGAUGACUGCAAGGUGUGAGAGAGGGAAGAUAAGAGGAGAAGUCCACAAGAGUUGCUUGUCAGGAGUGAUGGGUGAGAACUGACAAGUGCUUGUUAGUUUUUUUGUGUGUUUUUUUCCUCCCUCUGCCCAGUAGAGUUGGUGUGAAAACAACAAGCUGCAGAGCCUCCGCACUCGCUCAACUAAGGUACAAUGUGAUAAUACAUAUCCACAAGACAACAUAAACGGCUGCUGAACAUGAAGUUCAAAACAAGCAGCGAAAAAAAAAAGAAGAGAUAUUUUAUUCAGGUUAGAAGUGGUAGAUAGGAAGCAAAAACAUCUCCUGUCAAUGCAUGACAGCUAUUAGAUGGGCACGGACAUUAGUCUGUAAUGUUCAGAAACACAGUGCAUCUGCAUGAAUGAAUAGCACUUUAACUUUUCUAGUGAAUGUGGCAGUAGAGUAAAAACGAAAAGCUGCUUGCCCAACCAAGAACUGAAGUUGUUUAAAGAGACCCCUGACAGCUGAAAGUAUGGAGAAAAAUAAAAAAUAAAUCUGGAUCAGUGCUUCCCCAUGUGCAUUUCAAAUAUUGGCAAGACCUGUAUAUUCAUAGGAUGGUAUUCAUUGGUCUUUUGCAGUGAUGCAACCAACUGCAACUCCAUAGGUAUUCGCUCAUAAAGAAAAAUAUUACCAUCCACUCUUUGAUGAGCACACCUCAGAAAAUAUUUCUUAAAACCAUUUCAAGGCCAAGCAGAGCUACGUUUUUUUUGUUGUGAACCUCAAAGACAAAUUUGACUGACCACAGGAGCCUGAGUCGACAACUAGACGAGUGUGGUUUCUGCUUUAGUGCCACGGGGAAGCCAAAAACAAUCACAACAAUCUCAAAGUGAGCAGGAGAACACAAACAUCGAAGGGUCCAAUAAAAAUGAGUAAAUCCAGCAUUUUUCUAUCAACAUUAUUUUUGGGAAACAGCAUCGAUUUCAUGUUUCAGCCCAUUAUUACCUAAUCGGAAAACAAUCACGCAUGCAAAUUGUUCUUUAAAAGAAAAUGACUCGAGAUAGGUUAAAUAAUAGCCAAGAGAAUAUCACUUAAAUGAUGACAGCAGUGAUAAAUGCCUUAGUUUUCUGAAGCUAUUUGAUUCAGUGUCAGGGAUUAAAAACAAACGACAGGUGUUCAUAAUAUUUAUAUUAGUUCUUAUACAGCGAUUUUCCCAAUAUUGGUGCUUUAAAUACUAUUUUUAGAAACAAAAGUUUAAUGAUUCAUAAGUUUAUUUGUUAAAAUAUUAAUCUUUAAAUGGAAAAUCAAAUUAUGGUAUCUUUGGAGAAACUGGGUUCCUAUAAUUAACUUUUCUUUCUGAUCACAGAGACUCAACAAAAAUGAGUGAACAUUGGGAACCGGAAGUGAAUCCGUGAGAUUGGACUUCAUGGUGACUCGGAGCAAAAAGCCAUUGUCUGCGAUGUUGCUCUGAAAAACAGGAUGGACGUUUGGACUGUUGUGGGAAGCUGUAUCUUGGGAGUCUGCUGUCUUCUUCUGAUGUCAUGGAUGCAGAAAAGAUCAGACAAUAAGCUAAAUAAAGACGCUCUAUUAAACCAGCAAUUACCUCGUAAGGCUGAAAUGAUUCAUUGCAUCUUAUUGAAGGAACAGCUAUUCGUCGUCCAGUAGAUGCGGUUGCAACACGGACUUCAUCAGUCUGAGAGAAAACAACAAUACGAUACCAAAAAAAAUAAAAAUAAAAAUCCUUUGAAGAUUUCCUCGAGCGGAGGGCUUCUUGCACUGGGACUACUUUCAGCUGUGCAUUGACUGGCAACUCCAGAGCCAGUCAUGUCAGCUGUCGAUCAAACUGGAAAAGCACAAAAGUCUGGCUCCCAAACCUCCACCAGUGUGUGCGGAUCGCAGUGCAGGGCUACCAGGGGCCAACAACAUUAAAGUGCCUGCUUCUGCUUUAUUACCAGAAAGGCACAAUAGCUCUGCCUGCCAAAACCCUUGUGAAUUCACAUUCCCUCCUAAAUUAGAUGUACCUGCAGACCGAUGUGAUACAAUUAGGAGCUGAUUAUUUGUAAAUCAAACGAUGACAGCCUGACCGUGUGGCUGUCUGGGAUGUUGUGGUCCUCUGGUAGCCAAUCCCCUGCCUCGGGAGAAUGGUAAUUGAUUCCCAGGCCCCCCCUGUGGGAAUGCUGCUCUGCUCGUCUCGCAAGGCGGAGAUGCACAAGUGUCUCUGGUACUGGAAAUUUCAAUGAAUACAUCCAUAUUGUAAAUUUCUCCACAGAGUUUUCAGGCAGAAAACUUUGGGGUGAAAAAAAAAAAAAAGGUGAAAGGUUUUUAUUGCAGUAGAGUGAGGGUGGAAAACAGAAAAUAAUGCAAUUAAGAGAGAAUAAACUUUAGCAAAAAUGCAUUAGAUGGUUUUUUUUGGUGCUUUUUGGCAAGUGACUUGACAUUUAAAUGUGUGUUGCAUGUGGUUUUGGUAAGUGUAUGUGCCGUUUCAUCUGUAUGUGUUUGUGGCCUGUGCCAAAUCUCUGCCGUUUUCUGAAGCCUCUUUUAAAAAUGUAUGAGACGUUGAACCAUUGUGUUUGUGUACACACACCCUGACUUCAAAGGGUAACUAUGCAUGAUAACCUUUACUUUUUAGUCUUUUAUCUGAAGCACCAGCGCUUGCUGUAAUGUGACAUGUAGAUGCAGGUUUGCCUGUCCUAGUGUUAAGCUAAUAACUGAUUGAUCUAAGGAACUCUAUCUGGACAAUUAACUCCAAAAGGAAAAGCCACAUGUUAAUGUGUUAACUUGUGGCGUCCACUGUCGCCACAUGCUUUCUCAGACUGCUGGACAGUCAAAGACUCCACGCAAUCAGAUAGAGUUCCUCAGAUCAAUCACCUAUUAAGAUUAUAUAGGCUCACUGUGUUAUACCCAGUAUCAAAUAGAAAUUGAAUUUGGUCUGAUAUAUAUCGAUUGGUAUACCAAUUUGAUUGGGUGCAACACAAAUAAAUACGAUCAAAAUGAUGUAAUGCAGUAAUCAGAGCUGAAAUAGUAAUACAGCAUUUUCAUUUCAAUUGAUAAUAAGAAAAUCUGCAUCAGGUAUCUUUUAUGGUCAGGUGCCAUCACAAAAAUGUUGUAGUUUAACAUAAUAAACAAAACUAUGAUUUAUUUAUUAUUUUUUUGGUUAAAGCCAAUUCUGACACAAUAAUUUGUUUCAUGUGAACAGUAGAAUCAAAUGCAAGCAAGUCCAAGCGGUGAAAUGCAAACUGUGACAGAAUAGAGAAUAAAAGACAGAUUACAGAGACUGUGACCUGAGAGUGUAUCAAAACAGGCAUCUUGUGAGAGCACUCCAGCCAUCAGUUCGAGAGCUAAGAGAGUGCUUCAUUGAGGAUUAGGUCCUUUAGAAUCACUCAUCCACAGAUCUCAGCCAGUAUUCCCAGUGAGACUGAUUAUCUGGGCCUGUCGCAGACACAGAGGAUAAUUACAGGGUCUCCCCGAGGUCACUGCUCCCACCAUGCCCCACGAAUGGAAAUGCACUGCUGAGCGAAAUGCCGGCAAUGGCAGGGGAGGGAUACAGGUUAUUCUCUCUCACCUGCAUGCACACAAACAAACCAAAAAUGAUUCCCUUAAAAAAUAAAAUAGAAUAAAAAAUAAGAAAAGGUAUGGCAUCAUCUGCCUGUCGUCUCUGUCUUAAUCUCAAACAUUUCAGUCUUAAUUAUCACCGACUUUUUCCCUCUUUAAGUUUAUUUCCCGCCUGCCCCCCACAGCCCACCCCCUCCUCUUUGUUGUCUUUUGUCCUAUUUCAGCUCUGCCCCUCCCCCUAGUGGCAACUUUAUACAUUACAUAAUGAUAAUUUAAGUGAUAUAGCGCAAGCUAAUUUUCCCAUGCUGUUCCAGAACUAAUUGCCACUACUGCUGGAGUGUGAUAAAGAUGUACAAGGAUAGGAGGGGAAAAAAUAGCUGGAGUUAGAUCCUUGGCAAGGACAAAGUGACACGGAAAGAAAUCCUAGACCUUUUUCUGUCCCAGGGCCCCUGCAGAAACAUGACACCAAAACCCCUUUUACAUCCAAAAUAAAACUGCCUGCAGCAGAAUGCGUCUUCUUAAAGGAUUUGCCAAAACAUCUGCACA
This is a non-coding RNA of Poecilia reticulata (guppy), 4960 nucleotides long. NCBI's taxonomy places the organism in Eukaryota, Metazoa, Chordata, Actinopteri, Cyprinodontiformes, Poeciliidae. The record is from RefSeq and is a predicted model, not a curated record.